UGAGGGGAAUGUUGUCUGGCUCGAGGACUCUCUUUGAUUCCUUUUUUUUUUUCCCUCAAAGUAUAUCCAUAGAUCUGAUCUAAAGCAUGUAUGGGUAUAAGGAGUAGAUUGAUCAUCAGCUAUAGUGUCGUCGGACCAGGCUUCAUUCCCCCCAA
RNAcentral lists this microRNA precursor (155 nucleotides) under Manihot esculenta (cassava). RNAcentral's name for it is "precursor microRNA miR166i". It matches the Rfam family "mir-166 microRNA precursor family". From Rfam's summary of the family: This family represents the plant microRNA (miRNA) precursor mir-166. The record is from RNAcentral. Lineage: Eukaryota; Viridiplantae; Streptophyta; Magnoliopsida; Malpighiales; Euphorbiaceae.